Long non-coding RNA from Polistes dominula (European paper wasp), 1210 nucleotides. Lineage: Eukaryota; Metazoa; Arthropoda; Insecta; Hymenoptera; Vespidae. The record is from RefSeq and is a predicted model, not a curated record.
UUAUACCUAUUUCAUAUCUAUUUCUAUUCGUAUGAAAAUGAUGAUUGAUUUGAUGUCAAAAAUACAAAAUAUAAGUAUAAAACGAUGUAUCAAAAUUGUUAGGAGUAUUGAAAUGAAAAUGCAUUGGAAAGGGUCAUUUUGAAAAAGAUAAGAGAGAGAGAGAGAGAGUAAUAGGAUGCGCGCACGCAUUUAAGUAAACAAUGAAGCGCGCCUCCGUAACGAACGAUAUGGCAACUGCGCAGAAGGAUGAUCCAUGUGACGGAGAAAGAACGUGACAAAAGGUAGCAGAGAGUGAGGCUGCCAACAUCAGAGCAAGUAUUUGCCCGGGCGAGCCGGGUGUCGGGUGUGCUCUGCGUAUACAGAACAUUAGUCUUCUUUCUUUCUCUGUCUGUCUGUCUCUCUCUCUCUCUCUCCUCUCUCUCUCUCUCUCUUUCUCUUUCUGUCUAUCCGCGGAUCGUUUUCCCCCACUUCUUGUGUUCUAUCCGUCUUUGUGCUUUACCCCCUCUCUAAUGACAAUUCAUUCUAUCUCUUUCUCACGUGCGCGAUACUCAGCUCCGUUUUGGCGUCGACGCGAAAGGUAAGAGCCUAGUACGAAAGCUUCUCCUCUUUCUUCUAACACCCGGCAAUUAAACGGACAAUCAUAAGACAUUAGGAAAACUUUAGUGUUAAUAUUACAAUUUGUGAUAAUACGAAUAUUCGCGGACAAAAAUAAAAUAAAAUAUAUUUCGAGUUUGUCGAUAAUAAUGUUGAAAAAAGUGCAAUGGUUAGUAACGGGCGAAGAGAUAUGCAGGGAGCUCGACACUACUCUCACACGCCCAGCCGAAUUGCUGCGUCACAUGGGCCGCGUUCAUUGGUCGAUAGAGCAGGAUGACGUCAUGAAACGCACUACCAUUGGCCCGUAAGUCGGAGCCCAGACACGUGAAUCGUGGCCAAGCAAGCAUGGCUGUUGAUGCGCAGUGGUUAACACUUGUAAAAUGUUUCUGCCACGCGCCAGAUCGAUCAGGUUAUAACCAUCGUGUGUGCUCUGAAACGUCUAGGGACGACCGGUGGCUCAGUUAACGUGAACGUGAAACUUAGUCCUCCCUCGUGUUCGAUCUUCCUUCUGUUUCUACGAUUGACUACUCGCGGUGGAUAGCAGUAACAACAGACACCACGAAGAAUUUCUACAGGUAGCAGAAUUACUACAAAAACAUCAAGAAUAAUAAUAAUA